AUAGUUCGGUGACAGGAUAUAUGCUAGUAGAACUUAUGACAGGUCAAAAACCAAUUAUGCCGAUUGAAGAAAAGGUACUUACUUGGAGUAUGCUAUCAUGGGAAGAUGGAUUGACAAGAGAAGAACUUCUGGCUAUUAGGAUUCGACAAUUGGAGCAAAGAACAGAAGAUGUCCAGAUAGCAUUGGAAAGGUUAAAAAGAGCAAGGUUACAAAACAAGGCGCGAUU
This 226-nucleotide long non-coding RNA is filed under the name Physcomitrium patens. RNAcentral's name for it is "long non-coding RNA (PPAT_LNC000448)". Lineage: Eukaryota; Viridiplantae; Streptophyta; Bryopsida; Funariales; Funariaceae. The record is from RNAcentral.